AUGCAUGUUAACCGAGGGCUGCAACCGACUAUGGCAGCAGUUUCUCCAACAGCAUGCUAGAAAAACUGAGGGGCUUUGACAGGUUGUGUUUUCUUGGUUCUACAAGCUGUCACUCAACCCUCUUACAAUG
Small nucleolar RNA from Spea bombifrons (plains spadefoot toad), 130 nucleotides. RefSeq annotates it as small nucleolar RNA SNORA44. The transcript has a single exon. The record is from RefSeq and is a predicted model, not a curated record. Lineage: Eukaryota; Metazoa; Chordata; Amphibia; Anura; Pelobatidae.